GACGAACGCUGGCGGCGUGCUUAACACAUGCAAGUCGAACGGAAAGGCCCUGCUUUUGUGGGGUGCUCGAGUGGCGAACGGGUGAGUAACACGUGAGUAACCUUCCCUUGACUUUGGGAUAACUUCAGGAAACUGGGGCUAAUACCGGAUAUGAGCUCCUGCUGCAUGGUGGGGGUUGGAAAGUUUCGGCGGUUGGGGAUGGACUCGCGGCUUAUCAGCUUGUUGGUGGGGUAGUGGCUUACCAAGGCUUUGACGGGUAUCCGGCCUGAGAGGGUGACCGGCCACAUUGGGACUGAGAUACGGCACAGACUCCUACGGGAGGCAGCAGUGGGGAAUAUUGCACAAUGGGCGGAAGCCUGAUGCAGCAACGCCGCGUGCGGGAUGACGGCCUUCGGGUUGUAAACCGCUUUCGCCUGUGACGAAGCGUGAGUGACGGUAAUGGGUAAAGAAGCACCGGCUAACUACGUG
RNAcentral lists this ribosomal RNA (468 nucleotides) under uncultured bacterium. RNAcentral describes it as "partial 16S ribosomal RNA". It matches the Rfam family "Bacterial small subunit ribosomal RNA", at positions 28 to 507 of the family's 1533-position model. The record is from RNAcentral.